CCUACGGGAGGCAGCAGUCGAGAAUCAUUCACAAUGUGGGAAACCCUGAUGGUGCGACGCCGCGUGGGGGAAUGAAGGUCUUCGGAUUGUAAACCCCUGUCAUGUGGGAGCAAAUUAAAAAGAUAGUACCACAAGAGGAAGAGACGGCUAACUCUGUGCCAGCAGCCGCGGUAAUACAGAGGUCUCAAGCGUUGUUCGGAAUCACUGGGCGUAAAGCGUGCGUAGGCUGUUUCGUAAGUCGUGUGUGAAAGGCGCGGGCUCAACCCGCGGACGGCACAUGAUACUGCGAGACUAGAGUAGUGGAGGGGGAACCGGAAUUCUCGGUGUAGCAGUGAAAUGCGUAGAUAUCGAGAGGAACACUCGUGGCGAAGGCGGGUUCCUGGACAUUAACUGACGCUGAGGCACGAAGGCCAGGGGAGCGAAAGGGAUUAGAUACCCGGGUAGUC
This 446-nucleotide ribosomal RNA is filed under the name uncultured bacterium. Its description in RNAcentral is "partial 16S ribosomal RNA". It matches the Rfam family "Bacterial small subunit ribosomal RNA", at positions 338 to 795 of the family's 1533-position model. The record is from RNAcentral.